Molecule: ribosomal RNA, 460 nt
Filed under: uncultured bacterium
Lineage: Bacteria
Description: partial 16S ribosomal RNA
Rfam family: Bacterial small subunit ribosomal RNA
Source: RNAcentral
CCUACGUGUGGCAGCAGUGAGGAAUAUUGGUCAAUGGACGCAAGUCUGAACCAGCCAUGCCGCGUGCAGGAAGACGGCCCUAUGAGUUGUAAACUUCUUUUGUAAGAGGGUAAACGCAGACACGCGUACCUGUCUGAAAGUAUCGUAUGAAUAAGGAUCGGCUAACUCCGUGCCAGCAGCCGCGGUAAUACGGAGGAUUCAAGCGUUAUCCGGAUUUAUUGGGUUUAAAGGGUGCGUAGGUGGUUGGAUAAGUCAGUGGUGAAAUUCUGAGGCUAAACCUCGAAAUUGCCAUUGAUACUGGCAGGCUAGAGAGUAGUUGCGGUAGGCGGAAUGUAUGGUGUAGCGGUGAAAUGCUUAGAGAUCAUGAAGAACACCGAUUGCGAAGGCAGCUUACCAAGCUACCUCUGACGUUGAGGCACGAAAGCGUGGGGAGCAAACAGGAUUAGAUACCCGAGUAGUC